RNAcentral lists this ribosomal RNA (361 nucleotides) under uncultured Anoxybacillus sp. Its description in RNAcentral is "bacterial SSU rRNA". It matches the Rfam family "Bacterial small subunit ribosomal RNA", at positions 1020 to 1382 of the family's 1533-position model. Lineage: Bacteria; Bacillati; Bacillota; Bacilli; Caryophanales; Anoxybacillaceae. The record is from RNAcentral.
GGGGGACGAGGGUGACAGGUGGUGCAUGGUUGUCGUCAGCUCGUGUCGUGAGAUGUUGGGUUAAGUCCCGCAACGAGCGCAACCCUCGACCUUAGUUGCCAGCAUUCAGUUGGGCACUCUAAGGUGACUGCCGGCUAAAAGUCGGAGGAAGGUGGGGAUGACGUCAAAUCAUCAUGCCCCUUAUGACCUGGGCUACACACGUGCUACAAUGGGCGGUACAAAGGGUCGCGAACCCGCGAGGGGGAGCCAAUCCCAAAAAGCCGCUCUCAGUUCGGAUUGCAGGCUGCAACUCGCCUGCAUGAAGCCGGAAUCGCUAGUAGUCGCGGAUCAGCAUGCCGCGGUGAAUACGUUCCCGGGCCUU